Molecule: long non-coding RNA, 733 nt
Organism: Daktulosphaira vitifoliae (grape phylloxera)
Lineage: Eukaryota; Metazoa; Arthropoda; Insecta; Hemiptera; Phylloxeridae
Exons: 4
Source: RefSeq, a predicted model, not a curated record
GCUAAAGAUAAGUUUAAAAAUGUUAUUAUAGAUUUAAAUUAUUUUGUACUUUAUUUUAGUGGUUUACCCAACUCUGUAUUUUCAACAAGUUUAGAAGCCAUCGAAGCACUAACAGCAAAGGCGGCGCCGUGAAAGAUGUCAAUGACUGGUACUAAACAAUAAACGAUUAAAUAAAUGUAACGUUAAUGAUGCACACUUAAUUUAAGCUAUCUACAUUUGGGUUAGAGAGAACGAAAAAACCUAUACAGUCCAGUGCAAUGUAUUUGAACCCCAGUCCUACGCAUUGAGGUACGUAGCAUUCCCGUCUGAGCUGAGUACACUAACAAAUGAACUUAUUUAAGUUAAUCUACUGAAUUGACCUACAAAAAAAAAAAAAUCGCAAGAAGUUAAUUUGUAUGAUAAUAAAAUAUAAGAAAAAUUUUACUCUCCUUGAAUAAUACAGUUAACUCAAGAGAUAGUGUAGAUAAACUUAUAGGAAGGAGGAGGGAGGCGAGGAAGAAGACGAAGAAGAUUAACUUAUACUCCACAGUUCAACAUCAAAAGUUUGAAAUAUUUAAAAAAAUAUUCAAUAGCUAAUUAUACUUAUCAAAUUUAUAGAUAUAUACGAAGGAAAAACGAAAAAAUUAUUUUCAGAAAGUUUAAAUAAAUCAAUUUGGAUUGAAAACUAAAGUAAAAUUUAUUUAUCAAUAAUUGUUAGUUUACACGUAAUAUUUUAUAUGAUUAUAUGAAAUAC